This 438-nucleotide ribosomal RNA is filed under the name Ebalia cariosa. RNAcentral's name for it is "partial 16S ribosomal RNA". It matches the Rfam family "Archaeal large subunit ribosomal RNA", at positions 2015 to 2655 of the family's 2987-position model. The record is from RNAcentral. Lineage: Eukaryota; Metazoa; Arthropoda; Malacostraca; Decapoda; Leucosiidae.
UAUUUUGACCGUGCAAAGGUAGCAUAAUAAUUAGUUUUUUAAUUGAAAACUUGUAUGAAUGGUUGGACAAAACAAAAACUGUCUCUGUUAUAAAAAUUUAAUUUAACUUUUAAGUGAAAAGGCUUAAAUAAAUCAACGGGACGAUAAGACCCUAUAAGCUUUAUAUUUAAAUUAGAUGAUUUAGAAAUAAAAUUAAAUAUAAUUUAUAAUAAAAUAUUUGGCUGGGGCGGCAUGUUUAAAAUUUUUGUUAACUUUUUUAAAUUUAACCACAUUUAAGUGAAAAUAAUGGAUCCUUUUUAAAGAUCUAAAGAUCAGUUACUUUAGGGAUAACAGCGUUAUUUUUUUUGAGAGCUCGUAUCGAAAAAAAAGAUUGCGACCUCGAUGUUGAAUUAAAAUUUCUAUUAAGUGCAGCAGCUUUAUAAGAGGGUCUGUUCGACC